GGAAUAUUGGACAAUGGGCGCAAGCCUGAUCCAGCCAUGCCGCGUGAGUGAUGAAGGCCUUAGGGUUGUAAAGCUCUUUCACCGGAGAAGAUAAUGACGGUAUCCGGAGAAGAAGCCCCGGCUAACUUCGUGCCAGCAGCCGCGGUAAUACGAAGGGGGCUAGCGUUGUUCGGAAUUACUGGGCGUAAAGCGCACGUAGGCGGAUAUUUAAGUCAGGGGUGAAAUCCCAGAGCUCAACUCUGGAACUGCCUUUGAUACUGGGUAUCUUGAGUAUGGAAGAGGUAAGUGGAAUUGCGAGUGUAGAGGUGAAAUUCGUAGAUAUUCGCAGGAACACCAGUGGCGAAGGCGGCUUACUGGUCCAUUACUGACGCUGAGGUGCGAAAGCGUGGGGAUCAAACAGGAUUAGAUACCCGAG
This 415-nucleotide ribosomal RNA is filed under the name uncultured Neorhizobium sp. Its description in RNAcentral is "bacterial SSU rRNA". It matches the Rfam family "Bacterial small subunit ribosomal RNA", at positions 358 to 790 of the family's 1533-position model. The record is from RNAcentral. Lineage: Bacteria; Pseudomonadati; Pseudomonadota; Alphaproteobacteria; Hyphomicrobiales; Rhizobiaceae.